GCAGAGGAACCUUUAGCAGGUCAACGACUUGAAGAAGCAGAAGAACCUUUAGCAGGUCAACUACUUGAAGAAGCAGAGGAACCUUUAGCACAGGUAUGUAUUAGCAGGUGUAAAACUACAUCAAAUGGCCUGGCUAAACAUACAAACCUGUCUCUUGGUGUCCUCAGAAUCAGGGUGUCUGGAGUGUAUUGAAGUGUGUGUCUGGUGUAUUUCGUCUGUGUGUCUGUACAUAUGUGUGUCUGUGCUGAGCCCAUGGACCUGCACAUUGUCAGCGGGAUCAGAAUGGAAGCUUGUUUUUUCCCCAAAAAAAUUCAGGACCAUUCUGCACACUAUGAAUAAAGUAUGACUUCCUGGAAAC
Long non-coding RNA from Coregonus clupeaformis (lake whitefish), 358 nucleotides. RefSeq lists it as uncharacterized. The transcript has 3 exons. Lineage: Eukaryota; Metazoa; Chordata; Actinopteri; Salmoniformes; Salmonidae. The record is from RefSeq and is a predicted model, not a curated record.